UGAAAUAGCCUAGUUGCUUCGAUACAGCAGGAGCCGAAUGGCUGGAAGACCGUCACCACACAGUUCUACAUCCAGGAAUUCAGUGAGUAUAUUGCGCCACUGCAGGAUGCUGUAGAUCUGGAAAUCGCAACGGAGGAAGAAAGAUCGUUGCUGGAGGCAUGGAAUAAAUAUCGGGUGUUGUUGAAUCGUGUUGAUACAUCAAC
RNAcentral lists this small RNA (203 nucleotides) under Escherichia coli. RNAcentral describes it as "IS009". The record is from RNAcentral. Lineage: Bacteria; Pseudomonadati; Pseudomonadota; Gammaproteobacteria; Enterobacterales; Enterobacteriaceae.